This 1436-nucleotide ribosomal RNA is filed under the name uncultured organism. RNAcentral describes it as "16S ribosomal RNA". It matches the Rfam family "Bacterial small subunit ribosomal RNA". The record is from RNAcentral.
CAGGCUUAACACAUGCAAGUCGAGGGGCAGCAUGGUCUUAGCUUGCUAAGGCCGAUGGCGACCGGCGCACGGGUGAGUAACACGUAUCCAACCUGCCGUCUACUCUUGGACAGCCUUCUGAAAGGAAGAUUAAUACAAGAUGGCAUCAUGAGUCCGCAUGUUCACAUGAUUAAAGGUAUUCCGGUAGACGAUGGGGAUGCGUUCCAUUAGAUAGUAGGCGGGGUAACGGCCCACCUAGUCUUCGAUGGAUAGGGGUUCUGAGAGGAAGGUCCCCCACAUUGGAACUGAGACACGGUCCAAACUCCUACGGGAGGCAGCAGUGAGGAAUAUUGGUCAAUGGGCGAGAGCCUGAACCAGCCAAGUAGCGUGAAGGAUGACUGCCCUAUGGGUUGUAAACUUCUUUUAUAAAGGAAUAAAGUCGGGUAUGGAUACCCGUUUGCAUGUACUUUAUGAAUAAGGAUCGGCUAACUCCGUGCCAGCAGCCGCGGUAAUACGGAGGAUCCGAGCGUUAUCCGGAUUUAUUGGGUUUAAAGGGAGCGUAGAUGGAUGUUUAAGUCAGUUGUGAUAGUUUGCGGCUCAACCGUAAAAUUGCAGUUGAUACUGGAUAUCUUGAGUGCAGUUGAGGCAGGCGGAAUUCGUGGUGUAGCGGUGAAAUGCUUAGAUAUCACGAAAAACUCCGAUUGCGAAGGCAGCCUGCUAAGCUGCAACUGACAUUGAGGCUCGAAAGUGUGGGUAUCAAACAGGAUUAGAUACCCUGGUAGUCCACACGGUAAACGAUGAAUACUCGCUGUUUGCGAUAUACUGCAAGCGGCCAAGCGAAAGCGUUAAGUAUUCCACCUGGGGAGUACGCCGGCAACGGUGAAACUCAAAGGAAUUGACGGGGGCCCGCACAAGCGGAGGAACAUGUGGUUUAAUUCGAUGAUACGCGAGGAACCUUACCCGGGCUUAAAUUGCAGAUGAAUUACGGUGAAAGCCGUAAGCCGCAAGGCAUCUGUGAAGGUGCUGCAUGGUUGUCGUCAGCUCGUGCCGUGAGGUGUCGGCUUAAGUGUCAUAACGAGCGCAACCCUUGUUGUCAGUUACUAACAGGUUCCGCUGAGGACUCUGACAAGACUGCCAUCGUAAGAUGUGAGGAAGGUGGGGAUGACGUCAAAUCAGCACGGCCCUUACGUCCGGGGCUACACACGUGUUACAAUGGGGGGUACAGAGGGCCGCUACCACGCGAGUGGAUGCCAAUCCCCAAAACCUCUCUCAGUUCGGACUGGAGUCUGCAACCCGACUCCACGAAGCUGGAUUCGCUAGUAAUCGCGCAUCAGCCACGGCGCGGUGAAUACGUUCCCGGGCCUUGUACACACCGCCCGUCAAGCCAUGGGAGCCGGGGGUACCUGAAGUGCGUAACCGCGAGGAGCGCCCUAGGGUAAAACUGGUGACUGGGGCUA